Non-coding RNA from Rattus norvegicus (Norway rat), 584 nucleotides. NCBI's taxonomy places the organism in Eukaryota, Metazoa, Chordata, Mammalia, Rodentia, Muridae. The record is from the annotation of a RefSeq genome assembly.
UUUAUAUGUAGCAAAAAGUCAACCUCCUACAUAAAGAACAAGUAAGGGAGCAGUUACACCGUGUGGAGGGAAGAUGGGUGUGAGUGUGAUGCUUUAGUGCCUUUCCUCAGGAAAGAGACCACUGCUUAAGGAUGUGGAUUUUCCUGCUACUUCUUUGUAGCCAAGGCUCUGUGUUCAGUGUCUUCCUCUACCAAAAGCCAAACAGGGACAUCUGUCAAAGUGGAACUUCACUGAAAAUCCAGUGUGUUGUUGAUAGUCAAGUUGCUUUGAUGUUCUGGUACCAACAGUUCCAGGGACAAAACUUGAUGCUCAUGGCAACUGCAAAUGAAGGCUCUGAAGCCACAUACGAGAGUGGAUUCUCCAGGGAAAAGUUUCCAAUCAGCCGCCCAAACCUAACAUUCUCCACACUGACAGUGAACAACGCAAGACCUGAAGACAGCAGUGUCUAUUUCUGUAGUUCUGGAGACACAGUGCUGAUGACAAGGGAGAGAUCUCAACAAGAACCCCGUCUCCUUCCAUUGAGCUCUCCCCAGAUGAGCCUGAGGGCCCAGCUGACUUAUUGUGAAAACCACAGGUUCGGGUGA